GCGGGGUGGAGCAGUACGGUAGCUCGUCGGGCUCAUAACCCGAAGGUCGCAGGUUCAAAUC
This 61-nucleotide transfer RNA is filed under the name Bacillus thuringiensis. RNAcentral's name for it is "tRNA-Met". It matches the Rfam family "tRNA", at positions 2 to 59 of the family's 71-position model. From Rfam's summary of the family: Transfer RNA (tRNA) molecules are approximately 80 nucleotides in length. Their secondary structure includes four short double-helical elements and three loops (D, anti-codon, and T loops). The record is from RNAcentral. Lineage: Bacteria; Bacillati; Bacillota; Bacilli; Caryophanales; Bacillaceae.